GAUCCUGUUGACUAGGUUGACCCUCAUUUGACAAGUUUUCAAGAUUUGGAUCCAUCCACUAUGGAUGGAUCCAGAAAAGCAAAAGGCUAGCAGCGCUAUUGUUGCUGGCUCUUCAAAAGCAGGACCUUCAAAGGUUUCAAUUCCAAAGAAGAUCUGCCUGUUUUGGCUACUCCUUGUGCUUAUUGUCCACACGGGAGCUCACAGGUUGUUGUGUUACUUCCAGACGAAGACUUAAAUCCUGCACCCCUCUCCUGGAGCUAUCACGACCCUUCUAUAGCUAUUGUUUUUUAGCCUGCUCCCAGAUCUGCUACUAAUUCGCUAGCUGUUAUGGAGGCCACUCAGGCAGAGGUAGUUGAAGAGACUGAAGCACAACCUGAGACUCCAAUUGGGAUUCAGGUAGAGGUUGAAGAUACUGGCUGCUUAUCUUCACCAGCUUCUUCUGAUUAUUCUAACAUUUUCUCAGUCCCCACUGAUGAUAAUGUAGGGAAAUAUCUCUAGGAGGGAGAUUCAUUUUCUUCUAUGCCCAUAACUGUAAAAGAAACUAUUCAGGAGGAAGAUGUUCUAGCUUAAUCUCUUUCUCUUGUGGCUAAACAAAUAAUUAUCCCAGCAUCUGAAGCUGUGGAACCUUCUUCUAUCCCAGUCCAUGAGACUGAGGAUGUCCCUGAACAAGCAGAGCAAGCAAUCAUCCUUACUACUGAAGUUGAGGGUGAUACUAAACAACCCAAUGUUCCAACCAUUGAGGUCUAAGGCAUUGUUGAUGAGACAUCCACUCAUAAGUUCCAGCUAGCAACGCUCCCAUUAAUACUUAAUGGGUGAGGAUCCCAGCACUGCUCUAAUAAUCCAGUUGAGGAUAAUUUUAAACUUAUUAUUAACUUUUCCUUUCCUCCUUUCUUCCUUUUGUUGCAUAUCAUAAGGAUAUUUCUUCUUUAUAAGGAACCAAAACAAGGGCAAACGGGCAGAAUAGGGCCCACAAUCAGAGGAACCUUUUUUUAUCGGACAAAAGGUAGACGAAGUGAUUAUCCUCCCAGCAAACUGGGUCAAUUGACCUAAUGGCAUCUGUGGAUAGAUUUUGAUGAGGUCAUUUCUUCAAAUUUAUCAUCCAUACUUUCUUUAUCUUAAUUAUCUUGUUUUUCUAGCUUAACCUUGCUUCUUCGCUUUUAUCUAGUUGGUUACUUCUAGAUUUCUAGAUCUACGUUCUCUAGUGAGGAGAACAUAUCAUUCUGAUGUUCAGAAUUUCCGCAAGAGAGUUCAAGCUCAAUAGAUGGAAAUCAACACAUUUCAGGCUUAAGUAGAAAAUCUCAGGUCCAGAAAUCAAACUUUGGAGACAGAAUCAACCUCCUACACUGUUGAACUCGGGAAUCUGAAAAGUAGGAACCGAUUUUUGGAAUCUGAGAUGAGCACCUAACAAGCUAAAAUUAAUAAUUUAAGGGGUAUGACUAAAUUUUUGGAGGUGGAGCUUAACUUCCAGGUUGAGUUCAUUGCAGCCAAAGAGUCUAGGAUUCUCGUGCUUGAUAUUGGGUUGGCUAAGGCUAAUGAAACAAUUAAUGAAGUCAAGGAAAAAAGUAAAGAGCUGUAGGCUGAGACUUUAUCUAAAUCCAACUAUAUUCUUAAGCAGCAGUCUACUAUUGCAAAGGACGUUGAAGCAUCUGGCCACCUUCAAAGAGAUUUGAAGCGGGUUCAAGAUACUUUAUCUACUAUUGAGGAAGCUUCUGCCAAGAAGGAUUGUGAAAUUUUGAAUCUUAGGUCUCAACUAUCAGAAUCCAAAAUUCUUGUUAAAACUCACGAGGAGUGAUUAACGCUAUGGAGGAAAGCAAGGAGGAGAUUCAUGCUCAAGUAAGGAGUCUAGAGGCAACCGUUGCCAAGCUGGAAACUGAGAAAAUUAGGGCUAAGACUAAGGAGAGAUUGAAAGUUGCUGCCUACUUUAAGGCUUAGUUUGAAACUAAUCUUGUUGUCGAUAGAGCCAAUACCAAGGAGGCUUCGAUCUGAUAUGCGAUGAAUGCAGUAUAUACUACUUAUCCAGACUUGGAUUGGUCUAAGAUUGAACCUCACUUUACUCCAGCUACUCGCAUUGCCCUAUAUUGCAAUAUUAAGGGCUCAAUAUAAGAAGAAAACUACCCUAGAGGUAGUAGCUCUACUCCUCCUGCUUCCAAGAUUCCUUCUACCAGCAAAUAAUACUUCUUUUUUUUCUUAGCAUUUUGUUCUUUCCGUAAGAUUUUCUAGAAUUUUUGACGUAAUCUGGGAAUUUGGGAAGCAUGUAAACAUUUUAAUGAAUGAAGAAUUUUAUUUCAUUAAUUCUUCGUCUUUUUAACUUAUACUCACAUGGCUUGACAAUGUUUCUGGAUAAAACUAUCAUGGCUUGAUGAUGUUUCUGGAUAAAAUUCACAUGGCUUGACGAUGUCUCUGAAUUAACUUCAUCAAACCUUUUGUGUGUUUUUCUGUUUCUGGCUUGAAAUUUUUUAAUUUAAGGAAUUUCAAAAUACAUAACUCUUCAUCUUAUUAAUUAUCUCUUCUCCUCCCAAGUCUAACUAAUUUGUCAGACGAAAAUAGUUGGACUUUAUAUUUCAAUGUUUUUUUUGAUGAUCUUUUUUCUAUUUUUGAAUUUCUCAAACUUUGAGGGGAGAUAGAUUUGAUUCCACUAAUAUGAUUGCUCUUCUGCUUCAUACUCUUUAUCAAAUUCUCUUAGGUUCCCUAAAACUCAUAUGGGCUUCUUAACUAUUAAGCCAGGGCUUUCCCACUAGUUUUUACAUUCUCAUUCUAUUUAUGUACACCCAUU
Amaranthus tricolor (Joseph's coat) is the source of this 2773-nucleotide long non-coding RNA. RefSeq lists it as uncharacterized. Lineage: Eukaryota; Viridiplantae; Streptophyta; Magnoliopsida; Caryophyllales; Amaranthaceae. The record is from RefSeq and is a predicted model, not a curated record. The transcript has 3 exons.